UGGGGAAUUUUGGACAAUGGGCGAAAGCCUGAUCCAGCAAUGCCGCGUGUGUGAAGAAGGCCUUCGGGUUGUAAAGCACUUUUGUCCGGAAAGAAAUCCUCUGGGUUAAUACCUCGGGGGGAUGACGGUACCGGAAGAAUAAGCACCGGCUAACUACGUGCCAGCAGCCGCGGUAAUACGUAGGGUGCAAGCGUUAAUCGGAAUUACUGGGCGUAAAGCGUGCGCAGGCGGUUUUGUAAGACGGAUGUGAAAUCCCCGGGCUUAAACCUGGGAACUGCAUUCGUGACUACAAGGCUAGAGUAUGGCAGAGGGGGGUAGAAUUCCACUGUAGCAGUGAAAUGCGUAGAGAUGUGGAGGAAUACCGAUGGCGAAGGCAGCCCCCUGGGCCAAUACUGACGCUCAUGCACGAAAAGCGUGGGGAGCAAACAGGAUUAGAUACCCUGGUAGUCCACGCCCUAAACGAUGUCAACUAGUUGUUGGGGAUUCAUUUUCCUUAGUAACGUAGCUAACGCGUGAAGUUGACCGCCUGGGGAGUACGGUCGCAAGAUUAAAAACUUAAAAGGAAUUGACGGGGUCAUAGCUGUUUCCU
This 589-nucleotide ribosomal RNA is filed under the name uncultured bacterium. RNAcentral's name for it is "partial 16S ribosomal RNA". It matches the Rfam family "Bacterial small subunit ribosomal RNA", at positions 355 to 1375 of the family's 1533-position model. The record is from RNAcentral.